Molecule: ribosomal RNA, 506 nt
Filed under: uncultured soil bacterium
Lineage: Bacteria
Description: bacterial SSU rRNA
Rfam family: Bacterial small subunit ribosomal RNA
Source: RNAcentral
AGGACGAACGCUGGCGGCGUGCUUAACACAUGCAAGUCGAGCGGUAAGGCCCUUUCGGGGGUACACGAGCGGCGAACGGGUGAGUAACACGUGAGUAAUCUGCCCUCCACUUGGGGAUAAGCUUCGGAAACGGGGUCUAAUACCUGAUACGACAACUACCUGCAUGGGUUGGUUGUGGAAAGUUUUUUCGGUGGGGGAUGUGCUCGCGGCCUAUCAGCUUGUUGGUGGGUAAUGGCCUACCAAGGCUUCGACGGGUAGCCGGCCUGAGAGGGUGACCGGCCACGACUGGGACUGAGACACGGCCCAGACUCCUACGGGAGCAGCAGUGGGGAAUAUUGGGACAAGUGGGCGGAAGCCUAGAUCCAGCAACGGCCGCGUGAGGGACUGGACCGGCCGUGGGUUCGUUAAACCUCGUUUCAGUACCGACGAAGCGCCCGUUGUCGGUGGUGACGGUAGUACGAGAAGAAGACGACCGGCCAACGUACGUAGCCAAGCAGGCCGACGGU